RNAcentral lists this ribosomal RNA (640 nucleotides) under uncultured fungus. RNAcentral's name for it is "eukaryotic LSU rRNA". It matches the Rfam family "Eukaryotic large subunit ribosomal RNA", at positions 24 to 664 of the family's 3401-position model. Lineage: Eukaryota; Fungi. The record is from RNAcentral.
CCCGCUGAACUUAAGCAUAUCAAUAAGCGGAGGAAAAGAAACUAACAAGGAUUCCCCUAGUAACUGCGAGUGAAGCGGGAAGAGCUCAAAUUUAAAAUCUGGCGGUCUCGCGGCCGUCCGAGUUGUAAUCUGGAGAAGCGUUUUCCGCGUCGGACCGUGUACAAGUCUUCUGGAACGGAGCGUCGUAGAGGGUGAGAAUCCCGUCUCUGACACGGACAGCCGAUGCUUCAUGUGAUACGCUCUCGAAGAGUCGAGUUGUUUGGGAAUGCAGCUCAAAAUGGGUGGUAAAUUCCAUCUAAAGCUAAAUAUUGGCGAGAGACCGAUAGCGAACAAGUACCGUGAGGGAAAGAUGAAAAGCACUUUGGAAAGAGAGUUAAACAGUAUGUGAAAUUGUUGAAAGGGAAACGUUUGAAGUCAGUCGCGUCGGCCGAGACUCAACCUUGCUCUUCGCUCGGUGCACUUCUCGGUUGACGGGUCAGCAUCAAUUUCGACCGCCGGACAAAGGUCAGGGGAAUGUGGCAUCCUUCGGGAUGUGUUAUAGCCCUUGAUUCGCAUACGGCGAUUGGGAUUGAGGAACUCGGCGCUUCACGCGUCCAGGAUGCUGGCAUAAUGGCUUUAAGCGACCCGUCUUGAAACACGG